GAUGAACGCUAGCUACAGGCUUAACACAUGCAAGUCGCGGGGUAACAUCUGGGAGAGCUUGCUCUUCCAGGAUGACGACCGGCGCACGGGUGAGUAACGCGUAUCCAACCUGGCCCAUACCACGGGAUAGCCCGUCGAAAGGCGGAUUAAUACCGUAUGCUGUCAUUAAGAGGCAUUUUUUGAUGACGAAAGGACUGGCGGUAUGGGAUGGGGAUGCGUCUGAUUAGCUUGUUGGCGGGGUAACGGCCCACCAAGGCGACGAUCAGUAGGGGUUCUGAGAGGAAGGUCCCCCACAUUGGAACUGAGACACGGUCCAAACUCCUACGGGAGGCAGCAGUGAGGAAUAUUGGUCAAUGGGCGAGAGCCUGAACCAGCCAAGUAGCGUGCAGGAUGACGGCCCUAUGGGUUGUAAACUGCUUUANAAGGAUAAAGUGAGUCUCGUGAGACUUUUUGCAUGUACCUUAUGAAUAAGGACCGGCUAAUUCCGUGCCAGCAGCC
RNAcentral lists this ribosomal RNA (498 nucleotides) under uncultured bacterium. Its description in RNAcentral is "bacterial SSU rRNA". It matches the Rfam family "Bacterial small subunit ribosomal RNA", at positions 28 to 516 of the family's 1533-position model. The record is from RNAcentral.